UGGGGCAUAGCCAAGUGGUAAGGCGGCUGGUUUUGGUUCAGUUAUUCCGAGGUUCGAGUCCUUGUGCCCCAG
Ostreococcus tauri is the source of this 72-nucleotide non-coding RNA. NCBI's taxonomy places the organism in Eukaryota, Viridiplantae, Chlorophyta, Mamiellophyceae, Mamiellales, Bathycoccaceae. The record is from Rfam.